This 1432-nucleotide ribosomal RNA is filed under the name uncultured organism. RNAcentral's name for it is "partial small subunit ribosomal RNA". It matches the Rfam family "Bacterial small subunit ribosomal RNA". The record is from RNAcentral.
CGUGCUUAACACAUGCAAGUCGAACGGAAAGGCCCCGUUUUUGUGGGGUGCUCGAGUGGCGAACGGGUGAGUAACACGUGAGUAACCUGCCCUUGACUUUGGGAUAACUUCAGGAAACUGGGGCUAAUACCGGAUAGGAGCUCCUGCUGCAUGGUGGGGGUUGGAAAGUUUCGGCGGUUGGGGAUGGACUCGCGGCUUAUCAGCUUGUUGGUGGGGUAGUGGCUUACCAAGGCUUUGACGGGUAGCCGGCCUGAGAGGGUGACCGGCCACAUUGGGACUGAGAUACGGCCCAGACUCCUACGGGAGGCAGCAGUGGGGAAUAUUGCACAAUGGGCGGAAGCCUGAUGCAGCAACGCCGCGUGCGGGAUGACGGCCUUCGGGUUGUAAACCGCUUUCGCCUGUGACGAAGCGUGAGUGACGGUAAUGGGUAAAGAAGCACCGGCUAACUACGUGCCAGCAGCCGCGGUGAUACGUAGGGUGCGAGCGUUGUCCGGAUUUAUUGGGCGUAAAGGGCUCGUAGGUGGUUGAUCGCGUCGGAAGUGUAAUCUUGGGGCUUAACCCUGAGCGUGCUUUCGAUACGGGCUGACUUGAGGAAGGUAGGGGAGAAUGGAAUUCCUGGUGGAGCGGUGGAAUGCGCAGAUAUCAGGAGGAACACCAGUGGCGAAGGCGGUUCUCUGGGCCUUUCCUGACGCUGAGGAGCGAAAGCGUGGGGAGCGAACAGGCUUAGAUACCCUGGUAGUCCACGCUGUAAACGGUGGGUACUAGGUGUGGGGUCCAUUCCACGGGUUCCGUGCCGUAGCUAACGCUUUAAGUACCCCGCCUGGGGAGUACGGCCGCAAGGCUAAAACUCAAAGGAAUUGACGGGGCCCCGCACAAGCGGCGGAGCAUGCGGAUUAAUUCGAUGCAACGCGUAGAACCUUACCUGGGUUUGACAUGGAUCGGGAGUGCUCAGAGAUGGGUGUGCCUCUUUUGGGGUCGGUUCACAGGUGGUGCAUGGCUGUCGUCAGCUCGUGUCGUGAGAUGUUGGGUUAAGUCCCGCAACGAGCGCAACCCUUGUUCACUGUUGCCAGCACGUUAUGGUGGGGACUCAGUGGAGACCGCCGGGGUCAACUCGGAGGAAGGUGGGGAUGACGUCAAGUCAUCAUGCCCCUUAUGUCCAGGGCUUCACGCAUGCUACAAUGGCUGGUACAGAGAGUGGCGAGCCUGUGAGGGUGAGCGAAUCUCGGAAAGCCGGUCUCAGUUCGGAUUGGGGUCUGCAACUCGACCUCAUGAAGUCGGAGUCGCUAGUAAUCGCAGAUCAGCAACGCUGCGGUGAAUACGUUCCCGGGGCUUGUACACACCGCCCGUCAAGUCAUGAAAGUUGGUAACACCCGAAGCCGGUGGCCUAACCGUUGUGGGGGAGCCGUCGAAGGUGGGACUGGUGAUUAGGACU